This 607-nucleotide non-coding RNA is filed under the name Linnemannia elongata AG-77. RNAcentral describes it as "Mortierella elongata AG-77 Eukaryotic large subunit ribosomal RNA". It matches the Rfam family "Eukaryotic large subunit ribosomal RNA", at positions 2794 to 3399 of the family's 3401-position model. The record is from Rfam by way of RNAcentral. Lineage: Eukaryota; Fungi; Mortierellomycota; Mortierellomycetes; Mortierellales; Mortierellaceae.
AAUAGAGGGCUGACAGAAAAGAUUUGGGUUAGUGAGAAUAGGAACAACAUCAAGGGACAAGCGUUCAUAGCGACGUUGCUUUUUGGUUUUUCGAUGUCGGCUCUUCCUAUCAUACCGAAGCAUAAUUCAGUAAGCGUUGGAUUGUUCACCCACUAAUAGGGAACGUGAGAUUAGUUUAGACCGUUGUGAGACAUAUUAGUUAUACUCUACUCUACUGGUGAAAUGUUGUUGUAAUUGUACUUAGUACGAGAGGAACCGUUCAUUCUGAUAAUUGGUAUUUGGGCCUGCCUGAGCAGGCAAUGGCCCGAAGCUAUCAUCCGUUGGGUUAUGGCUGAACACCUCCAAGUCAGAACCCGUUCUAGAACGCGACGAUUACCACCUUUGCCGAUUUUUAGUUGAAUACGAAUAGAGUCUCGGAUCUUGUAUCUUACUACUAGGGUCGAUCUUGCAGAGUGGAAAGACUUUGUGAGGUUAUCCUAAUGUUAAUUUCAAAUAUUGGAAGAGAUAAAUCCAUUGCAGACGACUUAAAUUGAGCGGGGUAUUGUAAGCAGUAGAUUAGCCUUGUUGUUACGAUCUGAGGAGAUUAAGCCCAUUGUUCUAUAGAAUG